UUUUAAAAAUUUCAGUGGUAAAGAAUCUGCCUGCCAAGCAGGAGGCACAGGUUUGAUCCUUGUGUUGAGAA
This 71-nucleotide transfer RNA is filed under the name Bos taurus (domestic cattle). It matches the Rfam family "tRNA". From Rfam's summary of the family: Transfer RNA (tRNA) molecules are approximately 80 nucleotides in length. RNAcentral also lists the same sequence under 4 other names. The record is from Rfam by way of RNAcentral. Lineage: Eukaryota; Metazoa; Chordata; Mammalia; Artiodactyla; Bovidae.